RNAcentral lists this long non-coding RNA (688 nucleotides) under Suricata suricatta (meerkat). RNAcentral describes it as "lncRNA (ENSSSUG00005020766.1)". Lineage: Eukaryota; Metazoa; Chordata; Mammalia; Carnivora; Herpestidae. The record is from RNAcentral.
AUUUUUUUUCAUGAUGUUGUUUGUUUUUAGCAUUUCAUAUUGGAAGGAGGGAUAUCUAUGCAUGGGGAAAACUCCAGAAAUUAUGAAAACUCUGAAGGACAGCAUGGCCAUUUUGGAAAAGCAAGACAAAAAACAAGAUCUAGAGUGUACGAAGAGUCACUAAGAGGCACAAAUAUGAAGGAAGGACAUUUGCAAGAACUGGCCAGAGAUCUAUAAAUCAGAUGUUGAAAUAGGAGAGGUAUAGGACCCAAAGACCUGGCUGGAGAAGGUAGAAUCCCAGAUCGAAAGACAGCAGAUCAGGAUCAAGACCUGUUCAAGUUCCCUUGAUGGGUGCUCAUUUAUGUGCUGCUUGGAUGCUUGCGGCUCCAAUUCAAGAACUAUCAAAGGUUAAGUAUUCUUGAAAUAAUAUUCAAAUCUAAUUUACACCUACGCACUUUCUGUGUUGAGUAUGCCGUCGUCUUCUCCCAUGCCUUGUCCAUUCUAAGACCUCUUUGAAAUCUCCCCCACGUACCCACCAGCUCGAUGAGCGAACAGUUGCUGCGGUAUGAGGAAGGGCGGGUUUAACCUUAUAUACUAUCAUCAGUUUCCAAGGCUGUAAAGUAGGUAGAUGAGGUUUUGCAGCGUCAGAGAAAAGUUCUGGGAAGACCAGAGUUCUAAGGCAGGCAAUAAAGGCAUGCCCUUAAAGGGU